UAGUCCACGCCGUAAACGAUGUCGACUAGCCGUCGGGCACAUCUGGUGCCUGGUGGCGUAGCUAACGCGUUAAGUAUCCCGCCUGGGGAGUACGGUCGCAAGGCUAAAACUCAAAGGAAUUGACGGGGGCCCGCACAAGCGGUGGAGUAUGUGGUUUAAUUCGAAGCAACGCGCAGAACCUUACCUACCCUUAACAUUUCACGCUCGCCUCAGAGAUGAGGUUUUCUCUUCGGAGACGUGAGGAUAGGUGCUGCAUGGCUGUCGUCAGCUCGUGUCGUAAGAUGUCUGGUUAAGUCCAAUAACGAGCGCAACCCCUGUCCUAUGUUGCCAGCACGUCAAGGUGGGGACUCGUAGGAGACUGCCGGCGUCAAGUCGGAGGAAGGUGGGGACGACGUCAAGUCAUCAUGGCCCUUACGGGAUGGGCUACACACGUGCUACAAUGGACGGUACAGAGGGCUGCAAGCCAGCGACGGUGGAGCUAAUCUCACAAAGCCGGCCCCAGUUCGGAU
RNAcentral lists this ribosomal RNA (509 nucleotides) under uncultured bacterium. Its description in RNAcentral is "bacterial SSU rRNA". It matches the Rfam family "Bacterial small subunit ribosomal RNA", at positions 791 to 1298 of the family's 1533-position model. The record is from RNAcentral.